This 76-nucleotide transfer RNA is filed under the name Clostridiales bacterium. RNAcentral's name for it is "tRNA-Pro". It matches the Rfam family "tRNA". From Rfam's summary of the family: Transfer RNA (tRNA) molecules are approximately 80 nucleotides in length. Their secondary structure includes four short double-helical elements and three loops (D, anti-codon, and T loops). The record is from RNAcentral. Lineage: Bacteria; Bacillati; Bacillota; Clostridia; Eubacteriales.
CUGGGUGUGGCGCAGUUGGUAGCGCGCUACCUUGGGGUGGUAGAGGCCGCAAGUUCGAGUCUUGUCACUCAGACCA